Molecule: ribosomal RNA, 450 nt
Filed under: uncultured bacterium
Lineage: Bacteria
Description: bacterial SSU rRNA
Rfam family: Bacterial small subunit ribosomal RNA
Source: RNAcentral
AACGAACGCUGGCGGCAGGCUUAACACAUGCAAGUCGAGCGCCCAGCAAGGGGAGCGGCAGACGGGUGAGUAACGCGUGGGAACAUACCCUUUGCUACGGAACAGUCCCGGGAAACUGGGUUUAAUACCGUAUACGCCCUUCGGGGGAAAGAUUUAUCGGCAAAGGAUUGGCCCGCGUUGGAUUAGGUAGUUGGUGGGGUAAAGGCCUACCAAGCCGACGAUCCAUAGCUGGUUUGAGAGGAUGAUCAGCAACACUGGGACUGAGACACGGCCCAGACUCCUACGGGAGGCAGCAGUGGGGAAUCUUAGACAAUGGGGGCAACCCUGAUCUAGCCAUGCCGCGUGAGUGAUGAAGGCCUUAGGGUUGUAAAGCUCUUUCAGCUGGGAAGAUAAUGACGGUACCAGCAGAAGAAGCCCCGGCUAACUCCGUGCCAGCAGCCGCAGUAAGAC